CUAAAAUAUCUUAAAAAGUUAACAAAAUAUAUAAUAAAAUUCUGCAAUAUCAUUCAGCAGGUCAAUAUUAACAAAAUAAAACAAAUACAAAUGAAACUUUUGUGAACAUGUCAUGCUCUUGGUGUACUAAUACAGAAGUGUACAAAUUAGUUAUUCCAAUUAUAAUUUACACAUGUUUAUAAGAAAUUCUAAGAACAAGAACAUUUUUUUCAAAAGACACAUACUGUGGAUUCAUUCAAUUUCUAUGGAUUAAAGAAAACUUGCAUUUUCAUAGGUAUUUGAUUGUGGAAAAACUGCAUAAAAUCUUAUAGACAUUUUGUACAUUGUUAAAAUAUUUAAAUUCCUUAUUCAUCUGUUCAAAAACAAAUCCACCAAAAAGGAAUAAUAAUGAAUCCACAGUAUCUGAUCAGGAUUGAUUGUUGAUGUUUUAUGAAUCAGCAGAACAACAAAAAUAAGAGAAUGAGGACAUUGUGACUGAACAUAUAAUAAUAAUAACAAAUAUCUAAAAGCCACCAGAGGAGUGCGCUCUAAUGCUGAUAUUGGUAUGGGUAGAAAUAGAGCUUCAUGUAAAUGAGACAAUAAUCGCAUGAAACAGGUGAGUACUGGAUUAUCACAGAAACAGUUAUAAGGCCACAUUGGUGAUUAAAGAGAGGUUAUCAUUUAGGGACUACUUUAAAUGAUGCAUAUCCUAACAACACAUAAAUGUGAGGAAAUAAGGUAAAAUUUAUGGUUUCAUUCAUAAGAUGUUAAGUAACUCUAAUGUAAAAACAGAUGUGUGCAUUGCCAAUGAGUAUUUUAAAUAUUUACUGAAUAAAUAAGAGAUGUAGAUUAUAAAUGCAACUUGGCGGCAGGAGGUUCGCCAAUAUGGUAAGCUUGGUAGCAGGGGUUUAUGAAUAGUGUAAGUUUGGUUGCAGGAAGCUAAACAAGCUAGUUAGUAGCAGAGGUUUACCAAUAUGGGAUGCUUAAUAGCCGAGGUUUACCAACAUUUUACCAAUAUGGUUAUUUUGAUAGCAGGGAGUUUAACAAUACUGUAAGCUAGGUAUGAAGGCUCAGCAAUAUGGUAUAUGCUUGGUAACAGGUAGGAGGUUUACUAAUAUGGUAAUAACCUUACUAAUAUUACGAGUAGCUUGGCAGCAGGUGGUUUAUUAGAAGUUAGUUAACAAGAUGGUAGGCUUUGUAGCAAGAGGUUUAUUAAUAUGAUAAGCUUAGUAGCAAGGGAGAAAACACUGUAGUCAGCUUAAUUUAGUGGCAGGUAUUCAACAAUAAUGUUUACCAGUAAUGUAAGGUUAGUAAAGAGUGUUUACUACUAAGGUAAGCUUUAUAGUAAAGGUUCAAUAUGAAAAGAGAUUGUCUUGUAAAAAAAGUAAAAUAGGAAAUUAUAUAAAUAGCUAUGACACAAAUGCAUACUGGAUUGAGUCAAUAGUGAAAUAUCAAACUAGAUUUACAGCAAUGUUAAAAACACUAAAUCUGUACAAAACAUUAAUGUUGGAACGUUAUAUACUUUGAGUAUCAUAAUUAAUUUACAUAUUUAGUGAUUGAGUGGAAAGGAUGAAGUUUACUUUUAACUGAAAAAAAACCAGAUUGUAUACAUAUAUAUCAUCUAUUUUUCACUAUACAUACACGCUAUUUCAAAUUCUUUUUAGAAAUUAUACUAAUAUGUACCAGAUAAAACAUAC
Molecule: long non-coding RNA, 1676 nt
Filed under: Mytilus galloprovincialis (Mediterranean mussel)
Lineage: Eukaryota; Metazoa; Mollusca; Bivalvia; Mytilida; Mytilidae
Source: RNAcentral